GUGAACGCUGGCGGUAGGCCUAACACAUGCAAGUCGAACGGCAGCACAGUAAGAGCUUGCUCUUACGGGUGGCGAGUGGCGGACGGGUGAGGAAUACAUCGGAAUCUACUUUUUCGUGGGGGAUAACGUAGGGAAACUUACGCUAAUACCGCAUACGACCUACGGGUGAAAGCAGGGGAUCUUCGGACCUUGCGCGAUUGAAUGAGCCGAUGUCGGUUUAGCUAGUUGGCGGGGUAAAGGCCCACCAAGGCGACGAUCCGUAGCUGGUCUGAGAGGAUGAUCAGCCACACUGGAACUGAGACACGGUCCAGACUCCUACGGGAGGCAGCAGUGGGGAAUAUUGGACAAUGGGCGCAAGCCUGAUCCAGCCAUACCGCGUGGGUGAAGAAGGCCUUCGGGUUGUAAAGCCCUUUUGUUGGGAAGGAAAAGCAGCAGGUUAAUACCCCGCUGUUCUGACGGUACCCAAAGAAUAAGCACCGGCUAACUUCGUG
This 491-nucleotide ribosomal RNA is filed under the name uncultured bacterium. RNAcentral's name for it is "partial 16S ribosomal RNA". It matches the Rfam family "Bacterial small subunit ribosomal RNA", at positions 29 to 507 of the family's 1533-position model. The record is from RNAcentral.